GAUGAACGCUGGCGGCGUGCCUAAUACAUGCAAGUCGAGCGAACAGACGAGGAGCUUGCUCCUCUGACGUUAGCGGCGGACGGGUGAGUAACACGUGGAUAACCUACCUAUAAGACUGGGAUAACUUCGGGAAACCGGAGCUAAUACCGGAUAAUAUAUUGAACCGCAUGGUUCAAUAGUGAAAGACGGUUUUGCUGUCACUUAUAGAUGGAUCCGCGCCGCAUUAGCUAGUUGGUAAGGUAACGGCUUACCAAGGCAACGAUGCGUAGCCGACCUGAGAGGGGGACGGCCCAAACGGGAACUGAACACGGGCCCAACCCCCAACGGGGGGAAACAGGAGGGAACUUUGCCGAAUGGGGAAAAACCUUACGGGCCAACCCCGGGGGGGGAAUGAAGGUUUUCGGAUCGAAAAACCUUUUUAUUAAGGAAAAACAAAUUGGGAAGGAAAUGCUCACGAAUUGACGGUAACUAACCAGAAAGGCACGGCUAACUACGUG
RNAcentral lists this ribosomal RNA (497 nucleotides) under uncultured bacterium. Its description in RNAcentral is "partial 16S ribosomal RNA". It matches the Rfam family "Bacterial small subunit ribosomal RNA", at positions 28 to 507 of the family's 1533-position model. The record is from RNAcentral.